RNAcentral lists this ribosomal RNA (496 nucleotides) under uncultured bacterium. RNAcentral's name for it is "partial 16S ribosomal RNA". It matches the Rfam family "Bacterial small subunit ribosomal RNA", at positions 28 to 506 of the family's 1533-position model. The record is from RNAcentral.
GAUGAACGCUGGCGGCGUGCCUAAUACAUGCAAGUCGAGCGAACAGACGAGGAGCUUGCUCCUCUGACGUUAGCGGCGGACGGGUGAGUAACACGUGGAUAACCUACCUAUAAGACUGGGAUAACUUCGGGAAACCGGAGCUAAUACCGGAUAAUAUAUUGAACCGCAUGGUUCAAUAGUGAAAGACGGUUUUGCUGUCACUUAUAGAUGGAUCCGCGCCGCAUUAGCUAGUUGGUAAGGUAACGGCUUACCAAGGCAACGAUGCGUAGCCGACCUGAGAGGGUGAUCGGCCACACGGGAACUGAGACACGGUCCAGACUCCUACGGGAGGCAGAGGUAGGGAAUCUGCCGCAAUGGGCGAAAGCCUGACGGGGCAACGCGGCGUGAGUGAUGAAGGUCUUCGGUUCGUAAAACUCUGUUAUUAGGGAAGAACAAAUGUGUAAGUAACUAUGCACGUCUGGACGGUACCUAAGCAGAAAGCCACGGCUAACUACGU